Molecule: ribosomal RNA, 496 nt
Filed under: uncultured bacterium
Lineage: Bacteria
Description: partial 16S ribosomal RNA
Rfam family: Bacterial small subunit ribosomal RNA
Source: RNAcentral
GAUGAACGCUGGCGGCGUGCCUAAUACAUGCCAGUCGAGCGAACAGACGAGGAGCUUGCUCCUCUGACGUUAGCGGCGGACGGGUGAGUAACACGUGGAUAACCUACCUAUAAGACUGGGAUAACUUCGGGAAACCGGAGCUAAUACCGGAUAAUAUAUUGAACCGCAUGGUUCAAUAGUGAAAGACGGUUUUGCUGUCACUUAUAGAUGGAUCCGCGCCGCAUUAGCUAGUUGGUAAGGUAACGGCUUACCAAGGCAACGAUGCGUAGCCGACCUGAGAGGGUGAUCGGCCACACUGGAACUGAGACACGGUCCAGACUCCUACGGGAGGCAGCAGUAGGGAAUCUUCCGCAAUGGGCGAAAGCUUGACGGAGCAACGCCGCGUGAGUGAUGAAGGUCUUCGGAUCGUAAAACUCUGUUAUUAGGGAAGAACAAAUGUGUAAGUAACUAUGCACGUCUGGACGGUACCUAAUCAGAAAGCCACGGCUAACUACGG